RNAcentral lists this long non-coding RNA (6644 nucleotides) under Brassica napus (rape). Its description in RNAcentral is "long non-coding RNA (BNAP_LNC014560)". The stretch from base 4288 to 4369 matches the Rfam family "tRNA". Lineage: Eukaryota; Viridiplantae; Streptophyta; Magnoliopsida; Brassicales; Brassicaceae. The record is from RNAcentral.
AUGGCUCCUGGAGGCAGUGCUUUGAAAGAAGUCCUUGAAUCCACUUCGACUGGAAUGGACUACGAGGUUAAAAUAGCAAAAGCGGAAGCUAAUAAUAACAAUAACAAACCUACAAAGUCAGGCAUCGCAGGGAGUGGAAAGUAUGGCAUGCAUUCAAACAAUGGUGUCUACGAGCUUCUUGAAUGUCCAGUGUGCACAAACUUAAUGUACCCUCCAAUUCAUCAGGUUCGUCUCUCACUUUCUAUCUCCCUGUUAAAAGUUUUGUAAUUGCAAAGCGUAACGUUGUUUAAAUUCUACAGUGUCCAAAUGGCCACACCUUAUGUUCAAACUGCAAAGCGAGAGUGCAGAACACUUGCCCUACAUGUCGUUACGAGCUUGGUAACAUAAGAUGCUUAGCUCUGGAGAAAGUUGCAGAGUCCUUGGAAGUUCCAUGCCGGUACCAGAGUUUGGGCUGUCAUGACAUUUUUCCUUACUACAGCAAGCUUAAACACGAGCAGCACUGCAGGUUUAGGCCUUACGCUUGUCCUUAUGCUGGCUCUGAGUGUUCGGUUACAGGUGAUAUCCCCACGCUAGUUGUUCAUUUGAAAGAUGAUCAUAAGGUUGAUAUGCAUGACGGAUGCACUUUUAACCACCGUUAUGUGAAGUCAAAUCCACAUGAAGUCGAGAAUGCCACAUGGAUGCUUACGGUAUAGUUUUCUUGUUUAUCAAUAUGGUUUCUUGUAGUGAUGGGCAUUCUGGUUUUUGGUUCGGGUUAUUUGUGUUCGGGUGUUUAAGACCUGUUUAGGAACCAAACAUUUUUUGGAUCGGAUGGGUUCGGGUAUUAUCGGGUUCAGGUCGGUUUUCUAUUUUUUUAUAAAACUCGACGAAUUAGAAAUAGUUUAGGAUUAAUUUGUGUUAAACCCGAAAAAACCAAAAAAUAUUCGGGUAAUUUGGAUAAUUCAGAUUUUUUUAUUUAUAAAUUAUAUUUUAUAUAAUAAAUAUUAACAAUAAUUAAUAUGUUAUUAUAUUUUAAAUAUUGGGUAGGUGUCCGGUUCUCAGUUCUGGUUUGGUUUUGGUUUUCCGGUGUAGAGAUAUAGAAACCGUUUGAGUUUUUGUAAAUUUCGGUUCGGUUUUUGGGUUUAGGAUAAUAUAUGCCCAUGACUAGUUUCUUGCUACACCGUUGAGUACUAUAUCUGAUAGGGGUACUUGGUCUCAUUUUCACAUUAAUCCUCCAAUACAUGUUGCUUUACACUCUAACUUGCAUUCGGUUUUACAGGUGUUCAACUGCUUUGGGAGACAGUUCUGUUUACACUUUGAAGCGUUCCAGCUGGGGAUGGCUCCAGUGUACAUGGCAUUCCUUCGUUUCAUGGGAGAUGAAAACGAGUCAAAGAAGUUCAGUUACAGUUUGGAAGUAGGAGCUCAUGGACGUAAACUAACAUGGCAAGGAAUCCCUAGAAGCAUCCGUGACAGUCACAGGAAAGUAAGGGACAGUCAAGACGGUCUCAUCAUCCCAAGGAACCUUGCACUCUACUUCUCUGGAGGUGAUAGGCAAGAACUCAAGUUGAGAGUGACCGGUCGAAUCUGGAAAGAAGAGUAAACCAAGAAAGAAAUGAUUGAAAAUUUGAUGUACAUAAGAAGAAGCCUCUCAAGGAGAGCUAGUGAUCGUAUGGAAGAUUUGAAAUUGGUUGUCCGUUUUAGUCUGUCAUGAUGGAUUCUUCUCCAAUGGAGAUGAAGAUGAGAUGAUGAUAAUCUUCUAGGAUGAAUCAGUUUGGAGGGAGCCAUUGUUACCAUCUCUGUACUUUUUGGUUUCUUUUGUUGUUGGGUUUGUGUGGUUUCAGACAGGGAAUGUAGGAGAAAGACACAUGAUUUUGGCUAUGUUCUUGUUGUAAAACCAUGUCCGAAACAGUUUGGUGCAUUUUUUCUUUGUUCACAGUGGUGAUUUUGAUGCAAGAGCAUUAUUGGAACCUUUUUUAGAGACUACAUAGAUGUCAGCUCGCACAGGAAGCAGACAAAGACGCUUUAGUGCUGAGAUGCAUUUGAAUCAAACAAGUAUAAGCCAAACUUACCAUUUCAACCCCCGUUAAUACAUGCUAAACUGUUAGCUUUAUACGUGUCUGUAUUGGCUUCAGUGAAGAAUUGAAGGAGCUUGAAGGUUUCUUAGAGGAGAUGAGGAGACUAUGAAUACAAAAACGUGAAAGAACAAAAAGACUUGUGGCAGUCACAGUCACAGUCACAGGUUAGUCCUUGUUCUAAUCUUCUAACAAUUUCUCACUUUUAUGUGUAAACGCAAUCUCAAACACAGACAUCUACGUUUAAAACAAUCUGAGAUAGAAGGAUAUUUUUGAAGUAUAGUGAUGUGAAAACUUUUGUGGGAAAAUUUAUAACAAAAUAUAUGGUAGCAUGUAUCCCAACUAAAUAAAAUGUCAUUUCAAAGUAUGUAAAUGUUGUCUGAUUUGAAGAAAAAUUGUAAAUUGUCAAGUAUCCAAAGAAGUUUUUUAUUAAACAAAAAAAAUUGUAAAUUGUCAAGUACAAAAACAAUAAAGGCGCCACGAAAAAAACGAGCAAAAACACAUAUAUUUAUACAUGUAUAUUACUCUCAUAAAUCAUUUGGGAUUGUAGAAAAAAUAGAAUGUUCUGGUUUGUGAUGGCAUUCAAAAUCGAGGUGAACAAAAGCUCUUUCCACUUCUGGAAGUUCUUCAAGCUUUAUUUGCAAUGAUUCACCAAUUGCAUGAGCUUCUUUUAAUGGUAAAUCCUCUGGAAGUUCUAUAUCCACCUGCCAAAACACAUAUAUAAUAACAUAUGUUAAACUUAAUUACGAAUUAACCAAACCUCAUAAAUUUAUGAUGUAAUAUAAAUUAUGCAGUGGUCAAGUGCAUUUAGAAAUUGACAUCUAAAUUUUAACUAUAUGUUUGCAACAUGAAUGUGUUUACAUACAUAGACAUACCUCAACAAAGUAAAGAACACCAAAGGUAUAGGCACGAACGGUAUCAACACGUUUGAUGUUAUCGGCGCCUUGUCGCAACACUAGAUAUGUCAACUUCUGUAAUACUUCCGGUGGAGCUGAUUGUCCGAUCAAUGAGACUACACAUAUACAAAACACAUAAUGAUAAAUAACCCAAUCUUAGACCACAUGCUAAACGCAUCGAGAGCUUGAGGAAUACGAUUCAAAGGUCUCCUUUUACUAUACCGAUGGAAGAAAUGAUUAGACGUAUACAGAGUAGGUUUGAGAGGGACUCAGCCCCUGUCCCUGAUUUUAGCAACCGGGAGGCUUCAGAAAGAGUGAACGAUCGAGCCAACUCGAUUCUUAACCGGUUGAUGACUUCUAGAGGAGUUAGAUCAGAGCAGAACCAGGCUAGUGCUGCUGCAGCAACAGCAUCAGAGGAUAUCAAUCUGAACCCGGACAUUGCUGCUCCUGAUCUUGAAGGAGAGACCACCACGAGAUUCCAUCCUCUGUUGAUCAGGAGACAGCUACAGUCACAUAGAGUCGCAAGGAUCUCGAACUUCACUUCUGCGUUGAGUUCUGCUGAGCGGCUUGUAGACGCGUAUUUUAGAACGCAUCCACUGGGGAGGAACCACAACCACCAAGAGCUGAACCAUCAUUCUCCUGUUGUGGUUGAUGAUAGAGACUCUUUCUCAAGCAUUGCAGCUGUUAUAAACUCUGAGAGUCAAGUGGAUACUGCGGUUGAGAUUGAUUCCAUGGUCACUCUUUCGACGUCUUCUUCGAGGAGAAGGAAUGAGAAUGGGUCGAGAGUUUCUGAUGUUGACAGUGCUGAUUCUCGCCCGCCUAGGAGAAGGAGAUUUACUUGAAAAACUAAAGCUUUCAGUCUGUGGAAGAUGAUGAUGAUGAAGAGGAAGAUUGUAACUGUAUUUUUCUUUUUCUUGUGUCGCUUGUUGGUUUGUUGUAUUUUGAUUUGUAAUUUUCGCAAUAGGGAUGGUAUUUUACUAUUUUUAAUCAAAGUUUUAUUAUCUUUUUUUCAGAAACUUUAUUCUGAUUGAACCUGGCAAUAGUUUCUCAACCCAUUGAAUCCAAUGUGGAAUGUGUUUCUUAUUUGACUAGUAGUGGACACCAUCAUGCAAGAUGCAUCUUAGGUGUAUAUCUAAUCAUCUUUGCACAUAAAACGCCAACGCCAACAUUCAAAUUGCAUUUUAAUGCUUUUAUAAAAAUGUAAAAUCAUUAACAAAAUGUAUAAGAAAUCAACAACCUUCUUAAGACAGCCAUGUAGGCAAAAGAAUGGAAUAGCAUGUACAUCCACUUUUGUGAAGUUUAUAAUCGAUCAGAUAGUAUCGCGUUAAUCAUCGUGCAAACAAGUCGCUUUGGCCGAGUGGUUAAGGCGUGUGCCUGCUAAGUACAUGGGGUUUCCCCGCGAGAGUUCGAAUCUCUCAGGCGACGAGUGUUUUUAUUAUUUCUUUUUGAAAUAUUACUUUCCCCUUGCGCCGUAACUCGCAACCUUUUUGUUCUCGAAACAAAAAACAAGAUACUUUGAGCAGUGUACAUGUCACAUGCGAGCAGCAACACCCGACACGUAAAUUAUUCUUUUGAAUGAUCUACUCUCAUAUGUUUCUUGUCAAUUAUUUCAGUGCUGGUUUGAACAUCAUUCUUAUUUUUUUAGUACAUAUUCCAACUUUUUUGACAAUACAAUAACCACCGCAUAAAAUACAAUCGCAGAAACGGACAUCUUCAAAACCAUUUUCAGGCUUUCAGCAUUUAUAAUCAAAAUAGCAUAUAAAUUGUAAACUUGUAAUGGUCUGUUUUACUAAAAACUGGUUGACAAUUUCUUAAAAUUAGAAGAAAAAAAAAUUACAAGUCUAAAUUUCGUGAAGAAAAUUACGUCAGCGGCAGGUAUAUAUAUAUAUAUAUAGAGAGAGCUUUAUUCGGUUUAAAGCCAAAUUUUAAAACAAAGAUAAAAACAAAAUGAAAAUGAUGUGUGCGGGAAACGAGCGUCGUCUCGUUACUCGAUGCAAGAAUCGAGCCAAUAAGAUAUUUUGAUUUUUAGAAUUAGUUAUUAGAGCUUUUCGUAAUUGGUCAUUACUUUCAUAGUUUCGUAACAAGAGUUGACUUUUGGAGUCUCAUUUCAACGUCUUUACCUGCUCUUUACUGCUUCUUUUGUUUUUACUCAUAAUAAUCAUAUGUAAUCUACGUAGUUUAAAUUUUUUGUUUGGUUAGAACUUAAAAACAUGAAAGAUACGAAAAUAAAAGUAAUCGAGCGUUAUAAGUUGUAAACACAAACGCAGAUAGUAAUAAUUAGUAAGAUAGUACAAAAUCUAAUAAAGUAUAAAUAAUUGUAAUUAAGGGGAGAUUAAUAUAGUACUAGUAUUGCUUAAAUAAAAGGAGCCAAACACCACCACCAUGGUUAAUUGUGAUGAUUCGGUGUGGUUUUUUUAAAAAAGUGGAAAAAAGACAAAACAGAGACCACCACCAUUAAUGACUUUCAUUCGAUACCAACAAGACAUGACUCUCCUCCCGUCUCUUUUCAUUUUCUGAGUGACCCAGAAUUUUUUUUCAUUCUUUCAAAAAUCCGUCGAUAUCUCGUUUUGAUUUGAAUCUGAAACAAACAAAACACCUAUAAACACGUGAACAGUCUGCUGUUUUGUUUCCAGGUAAUGAUCUUUUUUUUUCUUUUUUUUUUUUAAUUUGAGGUCUUUUUGUCUGAAAUCGAGAAAAAGAUCGAUAAAUCACCAAAUUCCGAAAUUGGGUUCUCGGGUCAAUGAUUUAUGUUAAUAUGAAUCAUCGUGUGACGAAUAUAUCUCAAAAGGUCAAAACUUUCGAGAUUUUUUUUUUGAGAACCCUUUCUCUGUUUUGUUGUCUUUGAAACUUUUGAUUUGAUGGAUUGUUUGUUUGAAAUUGUUUCUUAGGGUAAAGAGAAUGUUGAGAUAAAUGACAUUGAGGUUUGCAUUUCUUUACAGAGAUUUCUGCUUAAAACGUGGUUUGAAUUUAAAAGUUUAAAAACUUUGUUUUUUUUUUUUGGUUUAAAACCUUGCUUGCACGAUCUUUUAUUAGCUGUCAUAGAGUUAGAUUUGCUGAUUCUUGUCCUAGUUAGAUCUCUAUUAUUCUGUUUCUCUGUCUAUUUAGAUUGAAUAAUAAUUAUCUCUGCAAAGAAAAUAGUUAUAUAUUUUUUUCUUUUUGUUGAUGUUUGAUAGUUCUGCCAUUCAUUACUGUUCGUUCAUUGGAAUGGUGCAAAGCAUUGUUCAUAGCUUUGGUACCUAUCUGAAAGUGCAUUAAAUAUUUUUGCUUCAAUUCUUUGUUUACUUUUGAGUUGUUUUAUUUUAUACUUUAGUUGCUUUAGGAAGCUAACACAUCACAUAAGUCUACUUUUUUCUCAGUAUCAAGUUAUGUGAUUGCUAAUUUUAUGUUGUUUUUGAUUCCUUUUUUUUUUUACUCUUGCAGCAUAACAAAUAGAUCCAAAAGGAGCAAAUCAUCUGACUACAAGUGAAAGAACAAAGGCAUUUCACUCACCAUGGCUCCUGGAGGCAGUGCUUUGAAAGAAGUCCUUGAAUCCACUUCGACUGGAAUGGACUACGAGGUUAAAAUAGCAAAAGCGGAAGCUAAUAAUAACAAUAACAAACCUACAAAGUCAGGCAUCGCAGGGAGUGGAAAGUAUGGCAUGCAUUCAAACAAUGGUGUCUACGAGCUUCUUGAAUGUCCAGUGUGCACAAACUUAAUGUAC